GGGGUUGUGGCUCAGCGGUAGAGCGCUCACCUGGCACGUGCAGGCCCUGAGUUCAAUCCUCAGCACCA
RNAcentral lists this transfer RNA (68 nucleotides) under Ictidomys tridecemlineatus (thirteen-lined ground squirrel). RNAcentral describes it as "Spermophilus tridecemlineatus (thirteen-lined ground squirrel) tRNA". It matches the Rfam family "tRNA". Rfam says of the family: Transfer RNA (tRNA) molecules are approximately 80 nucleotides in length. Their secondary structure includes four short double-helical elements and three loops (D, anti-codon, and T loops). Further hydrogen bonds mediate the characteristic L-shaped molecular structure. tRNAs have two regions of fundamental functional importance: the anti-codon, which is responsible for specific mRNA codon recognition, and the 3' end, to which the tRNAs corresponding amino acid is attached (by aminoacyl-tRNA synthetases). tRNAs cope with the degeneracy of the genetic code in two manners: having more than one tRNA (with a specific anti-codon) for a particular amino acid; and 'wobble' base-pairing, i.e. permitting non-standard base-pairing at the 3rd anti-codon position. The record is from Rfam by way of RNAcentral. Lineage: Eukaryota; Metazoa; Chordata; Mammalia; Rodentia; Sciuridae.